GGAGAAGUCGUAACAAGGUUUCCGUAGGUGAACCUGCGGAAGGAUCAUUGUCGUGACCCUGACCAAAACAGACCGAGCACGCGUUAUCUAUUCCUGCUGAGUGGCGGCACCGUCGUCGCUCAGCCAAAUCCUCGAUAACCUCCUCUCCUCGGAGUGGGGGCUUGGGGUAAAAGAACCCACGGCGCCGAAGGCGUCAAGGAACACUGUGCCUAGCUUGGGGACACGACUGGCUUGCUGGCCGCUCCCCUUGCUGCAAAGCUAUUUAAUCCACACGACUCUCGGCAACGGAUAUCUCGGCUCUCGCAUCGAUGAAGAACGUAGCGAAAUGCGAUACCUGGUGUGAAUUGCAGAAUCCCGCGAACCAUCGAGUCUUUGAACGCAAGUUGCGCCCGAGGCCAUUCGGCCGAGGGCACGCCUGCCUGGGCGUCACGCUAAACACGCUCCCAACCCCUUACGGGGGAACAGGAUGCGGCAUUUGGCUCCCCGUCACCCAAGGGCGGUGGGCCGAAGAUAUGGCUGCCGGCGCAUCGUGUCGGACACAGCGCGUGGUGAGCGUCCUCGCUAUACUUACCGCAGUGUCUCCGACACAUAGCCGGCGUGAUGGCCUAGAAUGACCCUUGUAACGGUGCGCAUGACGCUCCGACCGCGACCCCAGGUCAGGCGGGACUACCCGCUGAAUUUAAG
RNAcentral lists this ribosomal RNA (684 nucleotides) under Avena sp. AVEN. RNAcentral describes it as "eukaryotic LSU rRNA". The stretch from base 274 to 429 matches the Rfam family "5.8S ribosomal RNA". Lineage: Eukaryota; Viridiplantae; Streptophyta; Magnoliopsida; Poales; Poaceae. The record is from RNAcentral.